UAUAUAUAGAGAGAGAGAGAGAGAGAGAGAGAGAGAGAGAGAGAGAGAGAGAAUUAGGCUGGAAUACUAUUAAUAGUAAAACGCUCUUUUUGCUAUCAAGUUUUUAACCCUUGAAUGAAAAAUUGUAAGGUCAGGAUGAUAUUAAUCAGUUAGAGUUGAGUGGUCCCCCUAGGGUUGAGUGGUCCCCACUGGGUUAUAGUAUUUAAUCCAAUGGCUAAAAAUAAUGAAAAGAGUUGAUCUAAAGUCUAAAAAACUGAUAGCAACAAUGGGAUUUUGCUACUAAUAGUAGCCCAGUCCAACUCUCUCUCUCUCUCUCUCUCUCUCUUUCUGUGAGACCCCAAAUAAUCCUAUAUAUGAGAUAUAAUAAGACUAAACUCUUAAUCCGGCUUAAGCAUUUUAGGUGGUGGUAAGGCCCAAGAGGUUAAGAGAGUUAAGCGUGCUAGGACGAAAGUAGUCCUAGGAUGGGUGAACCCCCUGGGAAGUUGGGGCGUCACAGUUGGUAUCAGAGCCAAUUACCAGCCGAAAGUGUGAGAUGAAUCUCGGCUGAGCGAGGGUCAAGAUGAUAGGCUAGCGAGACGAGUCUCACAUCGCCUGGUACUUGUGAGUCUGAGCCUGACGAGGACGUCAGGGUUUAAAGGAGGGGAGAUUGUGAGACCCCAGAUAGUCCUAUAUAUGAGAUAUAAUAGGACUAAACUCUUAACCCGGCUUAAGCACUUUGGGUGGUGGCAAGGCCCAAGAGGUUAAGAGAGUUAAGCGUGCUAGGACGAGAGUAGUCCU
This 777-nucleotide long non-coding RNA is filed under the name Ananas comosus (pineapple). Its description in RNAcentral is "long non-coding RNA (ACOM_LNC014042)". The record is from RNAcentral. Lineage: Eukaryota; Viridiplantae; Streptophyta; Magnoliopsida; Poales; Bromeliaceae.